RNAcentral lists this ribosomal RNA (253 nucleotides) under uncultured bacterium. RNAcentral describes it as "partial 16S ribosomal RNA". It matches the Rfam family "Bacterial small subunit ribosomal RNA", at positions 524 to 776 of the family's 1533-position model. The record is from RNAcentral.
UACGUAGGGAGCGAGCGUUGUCCGGAAUCAUUGGGCGUAAAGAGCAUGUAGGUGGAUCAAUUAGUCUGCUGUGAAAGUCAAAGGCUCAACCUUUGAAAGCCGGUGGAUACUGUUGAUCUAGAGUACGGAAGAGGCGAGUGGAAUUCCUGGUGUAGCGGUGGAAUGCGCAGAUAUCAGGAGGAACACCAAUAGCGAAGGCAGCUCGCUGGGACGUUACUGACGCUGAGACGCGAAAGCGUGGGGAGCAAACAGG